Molecule: ribosomal RNA, 253 nt
Filed under: uncultured bacterium
Lineage: Bacteria
Description: partial 16S ribosomal RNA
Rfam family: Bacterial small subunit ribosomal RNA
Source: RNAcentral
UACGGAGGGUGCAAGCGUUAUCCGGAUUCACUGGGUUUAAAGGGUGCGUAGGCGGUUCUUUAAGUCAGCGGUGAAAGUCCAGAGCUCAACUCUGGGAUUGCCAUUGAUACUGAGGAACUUGAGUAUAGUUGAGGUAGGCGGAAUUGACAGUGUAGCGGUGAAAUGCAUAGAUAUUGUCAAGAACACCGAUUGCGUAGGCAGCUUACUAAACUAUAACUGACGCUGAGGCACGAAAGUGUGGGGAUCAAACAGG